UAGAGUUUGAUCCUGGCUCAGAGUGAACGCUGGCGGCGUGCUUAACACAUGCAAGUCGAACGAGAAACGGUCUAGCUUGCUAGAUGCAGUCUAAGUGGCGGACGGGUGAGUAAUGUAUAGCUAAUGUGCCCCUUGGAGAGGGAUAACAGUUAGAAAUGACUGCUAAUACCUCACACUCCUUAUGCCUUAAUGGUAUAAGGGAAAUGUUUUUUCGCCAAGGGAUCAGGCUAUAUGGUAUCAGCUAGUUGGCGAGGUAACGGCUCACCAAGGCAAUGACGCCUAACUGGUCUGAGAGGAUGAUCAGUCACACUGGAACUGAGACACGGUCCAGACUCCUACGGGAGGCAGCAGUGGGGAAUAUUACACAAUGGAGGAAACUCUGAUGUAGCAACGCCGCGUGGAGGAUGACACAUUUCGGUGCGUAAACUCCUUUUAUAUGGGAAGAUAAUGACGGUACCAUAUGAAUAAGCACCGGCUAAACUCCGUGCCAGCAGCCGCGGUAA
Molecule: ribosomal RNA, 503 nt
Filed under: uncultured bacterium
Lineage: Bacteria
Description: bacterial SSU rRNA
Rfam family: Bacterial small subunit ribosomal RNA
Source: RNAcentral